This is a long non-coding RNA of Cannabis sativa, 1282 nucleotides long. RefSeq lists it as uncharacterized. The record is from RefSeq and is a predicted model, not a curated record. NCBI's taxonomy places the organism in Eukaryota, Viridiplantae, Streptophyta, Magnoliopsida, Rosales, Cannabaceae. The transcript is spliced from 4 exons.
UACAAAAUACACUAUUUACGUCGGUCAACGCUACUGUUCAUAGCGUUGACCGACGUAAAUAGUACUCAAAUAAUUGGGGCGUCACUUUAAAAAUGACACUAAUAAUAUGUUAUUUGCGUCUUUUAGGUAUAUGACGCUAAAAGCUAAACCGACGGAAAAAGUAGGAAAUUUAAAAAUUUACGUUUCAUUUUGCGUCUGUUAUUAAAACUAGUGUAUUAUAUUAGUGAGCUUUUAAAAACGACGCAAAAUACAAUAGUGAGAGUUAAUAACCGACACAAAAAAAAGUGAAAUCCCUAAAAUUAAAAAAGGCAAAAUCCUCAAGCCCCUUUCUUCAGAUGAUUCUCUUCAGCCGCAUCUCCACUUCAGCCCUCUCCCUAAACGCAAAAUUCUUGCGAUUCUCUUCAGCCGCAUCUCCUCUUCAGACGACGAUGAGAACUCACCCUAACCACCUCCUCUUCAAACGAUUCGACGGUGGUCUGUGGUCUCUCUUCUCCCAUGAUAUUGCUCAAUCCUUCUUAUUCUUCUUUCCCAGUCAUACAAACCCAGCUGCACCUCUGGCUGUUCUCCAGCCCUCUCUCUCUCCAAGCUUCGAUCAGCAGCGUGCCCCUCUCUUCGAGCUUCGAUAGACGACGCUCCUCUCUCUCUCUCUCUCUCUCUCUCUCUCUCUCUCUCUCUCUCUCUCUCUCUCUCUCUCUCUCUCUCUCUCUCUCUCUCUCUCUCUCUCUCUCUCUCUCUCUCUCUCUCUCUCUUUCCGAGCUUCAAUCAGUGGCACCCCUCUUGCCAAAAAUCCCAAAAUCGCCUCUUGUCCCUCAUCCCUCCAACCACCCUUCUCUCUCCCUCUGUUCAUCUUUCUUUCGGACAACCAUCGACGAGCCUAUCUCUCCGAUCUCAAAUUGAGAGAAUUAAAAUAAAGAAAACUGAGUUUGGGUUUGAGGAAGAAGAAGAAGAGUAAGCGGCAGCAGUAGUAGCAGCAACCAUGAAUAUAAUGGAAACAUCAAUAAUACAUCAUGUUCAUGAGCAUUGUGUUAUGCAAUUGAAGAAAAAAGUGAAGUUUUAAGAAAGAAAACAAGUUAACGAAAAAGGCCAUAAGAAAACAAUUUUGAAUUUAUAUUAUUUGAAUCACUUGUUGGACCAAUAGUGAGUGGAAAAGGGGAGACUUUUCUACUAAAUGAAAUGCUAAGCCCUUAAAAAAAUUAUUCAUUUAAUUUAGUGAACUUUAUUUUCAAGGCUAUAUAUGGAGACAUUUCUUACCCUUAAAAAUAUCACCACUUAUCUAUUUUGG